Molecule: ribosomal RNA, 292 nt
Filed under: uncultured Acinetobacter sp.
Lineage: Bacteria; Pseudomonadati; Pseudomonadota; Gammaproteobacteria; Moraxellales; Moraxellaceae
Description: partial 16S ribosomal RNA
Rfam family: Bacterial small subunit ribosomal RNA
Source: RNAcentral
GUGUCAGCCGCCGCGGUAAUACAGAGGGUGCGAGCGUUAAUCGGAUUUACUGGGCGUAAAGCGUGCGUAGGCGGCCAAUUAAGUCAAAUGUGAAAUCCCCGAGCUUAACUUGGGAAUUGCAUUCGAUACUGGUUGGCUAGAGUAUGGGAGAGGAUGGUAGAAUUCCAGGUGUAGCGGUGAAAUGCGUAGAGAUCUGGAGGAAUACCGAUGGCGAAGGCAGCCAUCUGGCCUAAUACUGACGCUGAGGUACGAAAGCAUGGGGAGCAAACAGGAUUAGAAACCCUAGUAGUCC